GAUCAUGGCUCAGGACGAACGCUGGCGGCGUGCCUAACACAUGCAAGUCGAACGGAGUGAAGCCCUUCGGGACUUUACUUAGUGGCGAACGGGUGAGUAACGCGUGAGGAACCUGCCUUUCAGUGGGGGACAACAGUUGGAAACGACUGCUAAUACCGCAUGACGCUUCUUGGGGGCAUCCCCGGGAAGCCAAAGAUUUAUUGCUGAAAGAUGGCCUCGCGUCUGAUUAGCUGGUUGGUGAGGUAACGG
RNAcentral lists this ribosomal RNA (249 nucleotides) under uncultured bacterium. RNAcentral describes it as "partial 16S ribosomal RNA". It matches the Rfam family "Bacterial small subunit ribosomal RNA", at positions 15 to 263 of the family's 1533-position model. The record is from RNAcentral.